UUAAGUUAAUAAGGGCGCACGGUGGAUGCCUUGGCACUAGAAGCCGAUGAAGGACGUGACUAACGACGAAAUGCUUUGGGGAGCUGUAAGUGAGCAAUGAUCCAGAGAUGUCCGAAUGGGGGAACCCGGCAGGUAAUGCCUGUCACUCAUUACUGUUAAGGUAAUGUAGAGGAAGACGCAGUGAACUGAAACAUCUAAGUAGCUGUAGGAAGAGAAAGCAAAAGCGAUUGCCUUAGUAGCGGCGAGCGAAACGGCAAGAGGGCAAACCGAAGAGUUUACUCUUCGGGGUUGUAGGACUGCAACGUGGACUUAAAGAUUAUAGAAGAACUACCUGGGAAGGUAGGCCAAAGAGAGUAAUAGCCUCGUAUUCGAAAUAGUCUUUAUACCUAGCAGUAUCCUGAGUACGGCGAGACACGAGAAAUCUCGUCGGAAUCUGGGAGGACCAUCUCCCAACCCUAAAUACUCUCUAGUGACCGAUAGUGAACCAGUACCGUGAGGGAAAGGUGAAAAGCACCCCGGGAGGGGAGUGAAAUAGAACCUGAAACCGUGUGCCUACAACAAGUUCGAGCCCGUUAAUGGGUGAGAGCGUGCCUUUUGUAGAAUGAACCGGCGAGUUACGAUAUGAUGCGAGGUUAAGUUGAAGAGACGGAGCCGUAGGGAAACCGAGUCUUAAUAGGGCGCAUUAGUAUCAUGUCGUAGACCCGAAACCAUGUGACCUACCCAUGAGCAGGUUGAAGGUGAGGUAAAACUCACUGGAGGACCGAACCAGGGCACGUUGAAAAGUGCUUGGAUGACUUGUGGGUAGCGGAGAAAUUCCAAACGAACUUGGAGAUAGCUGGUUCUCUCCGAAAUAGCUUUAGGGCUAGCGUCGAUGUUAAGUCUCUUGGAGGUAGAGCACUGUUUGGGUGAGGGGUCCAUCCCGGAUUACCAAUCUCAGAUAAACUCCGAAUGCCAAUGAGAUAUAAUCGGCAGUCAGACUGCGAGUGCUAAGAUCCGUAGUCGAAAGGGAAACAGCCCAGACCACCAGCUAAGGUCCCAAAAUAUAUGUUAAGUGGAAAAGGAUGUGGGGUUGCACAGACAACUAGGAUGUUAGCUUAGAAGCAGCUAUUCAUUCAAAGAGUGCGUAAUAGCUCACUAGUCGAGUGACCCUGCGCCGAAAAUGUACCGGGGCUAAAACAUAUUACCGAAGCUGUGGAUACCUUUAUAGGUAUGGUAGGAGAGCGUUCUAUGUGCGAAGAAGGUGUACCGUGAGGAGUGCUGGAGCGCAUAGAAGUGAGAAUGCCGGUAUGAGUAGCGAAAGACAGGUGAGAAUCCUGUCCACCGUAAGACUAAGGUUUCCAGGGGAAGGCUCGUCCGCCCUGGGUUAGUCGGGACCUAAGGAGAGACCGAAAGGUGUAUCCGAUGGACAACAGGUUGAUAUUCCUGUACUAGAGUAUAUAGUGAUGGAGGGACGCAGUAGGCUAACUAAACCAGACGAUUGGAAGUGUCUGGCCAAGCAGUGAGGUGUGAUAUGAGUCAAAUGCUUAUAUCUUUAACAUUGAGCUGUGAUGGGGAGCGAAGUUUAGUAGCGAAGUUAGUGAUGUCACACUGCCGAGAAAAGCUUCUAGCGUUAAUUAUACUCUACCCGUACCGCAAACCGACACAGGUAGUCGAGGCGAGUAGCCUCAGGUGAGCGAGAGAACUCUCGUUAAGGAACUCGGCAAAAUGGCCCCGUAACUUCGGGAGAAGGGGCGCUGACUGAUGGUCAGCCGCAGUGAAUAGGCCCAAGCAACUGUUUAUCAAAAACACAGCUCUCUGCUAAAUCGUAAGAUGAUGUAUAGGGGGUGACGCCUGCCCGGUGCUGGAAGGUUAAGAGGAGUGCUUAGCGUAAGCGAAGGCAUGAAUUGAAGCCCCAGUAAACGGCGGCCGUAACUAUAACGGUCCUAAGGUAGCGAAAUUCCUUGUCGGGUAAGUUCCGACCCGCACGAAAGGCGUAAUGAUUUGGGCACUGUCUCAACGAGAGACUCGGUGAAAUUUUAGUACCUGUGAAGAUGCAGGUUACCCGCGACAGGACGGAAAGACCCCAUGGAGCUUUACUGCAGUUUGAUAUUGAGUAUCUGUACCACAUGUACAGGAUAGGUAGGAGCCUAUGACCUCGGGACGCCAGUUUCGAGUGAGGCGUUGUUGGGAUACUACCCUUGUGUUAUGGCUACUCUAACCCAGAUAGGUUAUCCCUAUCGGAGACAGUGUCUGACGGGCAGUUUGACUGGGGCGGUCGCCUCCUAAAAGGUAACGGAGGCGCCCAAAGGUUCCCUCAGAAUGGUUGGAAAUCAUUCGCAGAGUGUAAAGGUAUAAGGGAGCUUGACUGCGAGAGUUACAACUCGAGCAGGGACGAAAGUCGGGCUUAGUGAUCCGGUGGUUCCGUAUGGAAGGGCCAUCGCUCAACGGAUAAAAGCUACCCUGGGGAUAACAGGCUUAUCUCCCCCAAGAGUUCACAUCGACGGGGAGGUUUGGCACCUCGAUGUCGGCUCGUCGCAUCCUGGGGCUGUAGUCGGUCCCAAGGGUUGGGCUGUUCGCCCAUUAAAGCGGCACGCGAGCUGGGUUCAGAACGUCGUGAGACAGUUCGGUCC
Molecule: ribosomal RNA, 2609 nt
Filed under: human gut metagenome
Description: bacterial LSU rRNA
Rfam family: Bacterial large subunit ribosomal RNA
Source: RNAcentral